Molecule: ribosomal RNA, 583 nt
Filed under: Vibrio sp.
Lineage: Bacteria; Pseudomonadati; Pseudomonadota; Gammaproteobacteria; Vibrionales; Vibrionaceae
Description: bacterial SSU rRNA
Rfam family: Bacterial small subunit ribosomal RNA
Source: RNAcentral
GCAGUCGAGCGGAACGAGUUAUCUGAACCUUCGGGGAACGAUAACGGCGUCGAGCGGCGGACGGGUGAGUAAUGCCUAGGAAAUUGCCCUGAUGUGGGGGAUAACCAUUGGAAACGAUGGCUAAUACCGCAUGAUGCCUACGGGCCAAAGAGGGGGACCUUCGGGCCUCUCGCGUCAGGAUAUGCCUAGGUGGGAUUAGCUAGUUGGUGAGGUAAGGGCUCACCAAGGCGACGAUCCCUAGCUGGUCUGAGAGGAUGAUCAGCCACACUGGAACUGAGACACGGUCCAGACUCCUACGGGAGGCAGCAGUGGGGAAUAUUGCACAAUGGGCGCAAGCCUGAUGCAGCCAUGCCGCGUGUAUGAAGAAGGCCUUCGGGUUGUAAAGUACUUUCAGUCGUGAGGAAGGCGGGUACCUUAAUAGCGUGUUCGUUUGACGUUAGCUACAGUAGAAGCACCGGCUAACUCCGUGCCAGCAGCCGCGGUAAUACGGAGGGUGCGAGCGUUAAUCGGAAUUACUGGGCGUAAAGCGCAUGCAGGUGGUUUGUUAAGUCAGAUGUGAAAGCCCGGGGCUCACCCUCGGGAA